This 309-nucleotide ribosomal RNA is filed under the name uncultured bacterium. RNAcentral describes it as "partial 16S ribosomal RNA". The record is from RNAcentral.
GACGAACGCUGGCGGCGUGCUUAACACAUGCAAGUCGAGCGGUAAGGCCCUUUCGGGGUACGACGAGCGGCGAACGGUAGGAGUAACAACGUGGGUGGACCUCGCCCCCACCCGACGUCCUUCGGGUAGGGUAAAGUAACCGUCCGGGUAAACCGGGGGGUAAACCCGGGUUAACUUAAACUUACGGUAGGUAAUUAGUACGUACCCUACCUAGUACGGACCGACUAGUUUGGUUUGGGGGUUGGGGGUAAAGGGAAACCGUUCCGUUUGGUCGGGCCGGUCGUAGGGAAGGUAGGGUCCCGGGGCCCC